UACAGAGGGUGCGAGCGUUAAUCGGAAUUACUGGGCGUAAAGCGCGCGUAGGCGGCUUUGCAAGUCGGGUGUGAAAUCCCCAGGCUUAACCUGGGAACUGCAUUCGAGACUGCAUUGCUAGAGUAUGGGAGAGGGAAGUGGAAUUUCCGGUGUAGCGGUGAAAUGCGUAGAUAUCUGGAGGAACACCGGUGGCGAAGGCGGCAUCCUGGACCAAUAUUGACGCUGAGGAGCGAAAGCCAGGGGAGCAAACGGG
Molecule: ribosomal RNA, 253 nt
Filed under: uncultured bacterium
Lineage: Bacteria
Description: partial 16S ribosomal RNA
Rfam family: Bacterial small subunit ribosomal RNA
Source: RNAcentral